RNAcentral lists this ribosomal RNA (442 nucleotides) under uncultured bacterium. Its description in RNAcentral is "partial 16S ribosomal RNA". It matches the Rfam family "Bacterial small subunit ribosomal RNA", at positions 338 to 795 of the family's 1533-position model. The record is from RNAcentral.
CCUACGGGUGGCAGCAGUGGGGAAUAUUGGGCAAUGGAGGCAACUCUGACCCAGCAACGCCGCGUGAAUGAUGAAGGUCUUCGGAUUGUAAAGUUCUUUUCUAAGGGAAGAAGAAAGUGACGGUACCUUAGGAAUAAGCCUCGGCUAACUACGUGCCAGCAGCCGCGGUAAUACGUAGGAGGCAAGCGUUAUCCGGAUUUAUUGGGUUUAAAGGGUGCGUAGGCGGGCUUUUAAGUCAGCGGUAAAAAUUCGGGGCUCAACCCCGUCCGGUCGUUGAAACUGGGGGCCUUGAGUGGGCGAGAAGAAGGCGGAAUGCGUGGUGUAGCGGUGAAAUGCAUAGAUAUCACGCAGAACCCCGAUUGCGAAGGCAGCCUUCCGGCGCCCUACUGACGCUGAGGCACGAAAGUGCGGGGAUCGAACAGGAUUAGAUACCCGUGUAGUC